AUGAAACAUUCAAGCAAAGUAACACCAAGAGUUCGGAGAUGGAUACCUCCAGGAGAAGAUGCGGUAAAGAUCAAUGUUGAUGGAGCAGUUUCCCGCUCAGGAAGGACGGGGGCAAGCGCGGCAAUAUGCAGGGACAAAGAUGGCAGCUACAUCGGUUCGUCGGCGGUGGUUUUUGAUGGCCUAGUGGAGGCAGCAAGUUUGGAAGCUCAAGCAUGCAAUGAGGCCCUCGCCCUUGCUCAAGAUCUCCUACAAUCACAUGUGAUAAUAGCUUCAGAUUGCUUGCAAGUCGUCUCAGAUAUUAAUGGUGCUGCGCCAUCUUCUUCUUAUGCUUUUGUUUUGGAUGAGAUUAGAACUAGAACUUUAGAUUUUGUUAAAGUAGUUUUUCUCUUUGAGAAUAGGGAGGCAAAUGCUGAGGCACAUGCCUUGGCAAAGGCAACCUCGACACUCCCUGUUGGUCGACAUGUGUGGCUAGGGAACUUACCAGACAUUAUCUGUAUUCCGUCUGUUUUGGUUGAUGAAUAA
This 522-nucleotide ribosomal RNA is filed under the name Triticum aestivum (bread wheat). RNAcentral describes it as "partial small subunit ribosomal RNA". The record is from RNAcentral. Lineage: Eukaryota; Viridiplantae; Streptophyta; Magnoliopsida; Poales; Poaceae.